CGAGUUGGCCAGGCAAUCGCUGUAGUAAUGUCUCUUUCAUUCGCUUGCGUUUAAAAGGGUGUAUUGCAGAGGAAAGUCCGGGCUCCAUAGGGUAGUGUGCCAGGUAACACCUGGGGGGCGAAAGCCUACGGAAAGUGCAGCAGAGAGUAGACCGCCGAUGGCUUUUUCGAAAGCACAGGUAAGGCUGAAAGGGUGCGGUAAGAGCGCACCGCGUUGCUGGUAACAGUAGCGGCAUGGUAAACCCCACUCGGAGCAAGACCAAAUAGGUUCCCGUUAGGCGUGACCCGCGUUGGGAACGGGUAGGUUGCUUGAGGUAAGCGGUGACGCUUAUCCCAGAUGAAUGAUUGUCCUCGACAGAACCCGGCUUAUCGGCCAACUCAAUUU
Molecule: RNase P RNA, 384 nt
Filed under: Porticoccaceae bacterium
Lineage: Bacteria; Pseudomonadati; Pseudomonadota; Gammaproteobacteria; Cellvibrionales; Porticoccaceae
Description: RNase P RNA component class A
Rfam family: Bacterial RNase P class A
About the family: Ribonuclease P (RNase P) is a ubiquitous endoribonuclease, found in archaea, bacteria and eukarya as well as chloroplasts and mitochondria.
Source: RNAcentral